This 61-nucleotide ribosomal RNA is filed under the name Scrippsiella hangoei. Its description in RNAcentral is "partial Eukaryotic large subunit ribosomal RNA". The record is from RNAcentral. Lineage: Eukaryota; Dinophyceae; Peridiniales; Peridiniaceae.
CCCUUGGUGAUCUUGAUGGCAGUAGCAAAUAUUCAGUUGAGGGUUUUGAGGGUCGUGAAGU